CUACGGGAGGCAGCAGUCGAGAAUCUUCCGCAAUGGGCGCAAGCCUGACGGAGCAAUGCCGCGUGAGGGAUGACGGCCCUAGGGUUGUAAACCUCUGUCAGAAGGGACGAAGAACGUGACGGUACCUUCAGAGGAAGCCAUGGCUAACUACGUGCCAGCAGCCGCGGUAAUACGUAGAUGGCGAGCGUUAUUCGGAUUUACUGGGCGUAAAGGGUCCGUAGGGGGUCUGCCAAGUCUGAUGUGAAAUCCUGCGGCUCAACCGCGGAACUGCAUUGGAAACUGGCGGACUAGAGUGUGCGAGGGGUGAGCGGAAUUCCUGGUGUAGCGGUGGAGUGCGUAGAUAUCAGGAAGAACACCGAUGGCGAAGGCGGCUCACUGGCGCAUCACUGACCCUGAGGGACGAAAGCGUGGGUAGCAAACAGGAUUAGAUACCCCCGUAGUC
Molecule: ribosomal RNA, 442 nt
Filed under: uncultured bacterium
Lineage: Bacteria
Description: partial 16S ribosomal RNA
Rfam family: Bacterial small subunit ribosomal RNA
Source: RNAcentral